Molecule: RNA transcript, 2472 nt
Organism: Jatropha curcas
Lineage: Eukaryota; Viridiplantae; Streptophyta; Magnoliopsida; Malpighiales; Euphorbiaceae
Gene name: DEAD-box ATP-dependent RNA helicase 8
Source: RefSeq, a predicted model, not a curated record
CGAGGACGGUUUCUUCGUCAUUUUUCGUGUCUCCACAAACACAACCUGUACUCACAUCCCCGCCCUAAACGCCAUGAAUCAACGCACAAACCUUCAUUUCUUCUUGUAGGCCUAGCUACAAUUCUUUUUGUAUUUUUAAAUUUCGCUUCCAAAAUCGCAAUUUUUCUUAUUUUCACUCCAGAUCCGCUGAUUUUUUGGCCUUGAUUUUGCUCUGAAUUUACGAUCUCACCCAAAACAACAAAACCCUACCCUGACUUGCAGAGCAAAAAUAGACUAUUAUCUUUCCUUGUCGACCUGCUAUCUUUCUUUUACGGUUAUACCGCACUAGAAACCCUAGUUUUUUCCCUAGGUUUAUUUUCUGUUGUAUAAACUUCUCGUCGCUUCCAUUCUUUUACCUAACGCUAGAGCUUUUAGUACCAUUGUUUGUAAUUAAUUGACUGUUAGGUUCUGUUCCUUGGUUUCUUUUGAAAGUUUUUGCACAAAUUUUAGGCUACAUAGUCAGGGUUAGGGCUGUUAGUGAUGAACGGUAAUAAUAGAGGGCGGUAUCCGCCAGGGAUCGGUGCCGGGAGAGGCGCAGGCAUGAACGCAAACCCUAGUUUUCAGUCACGGGUUCCGCAGCAGCAGUAUGUGCAAAGGAAUAUGGUGCAGAAUCACCAGCAGUUUCAACAUCAACAACACCAGCAUCACCAACAGCAACAGCAGCAGCAGCAGCAGCAACAACAGCAGUGGCUGAGGAGGAGCCAGUUACCUGCUGCGGAUUCCAGUGUUGACGAGGUUGAGAAGACCGUUCAGUCUGAGGCCGUUGACUCCAGUUCACAAGAUUGGAAGGCAAGGUUAAAGAUACCACCAGCUGAUACACGCUACAAAACAGAGGAUGUCACAGCGACAAAAGGAAACGAGUUUGAGGACUAUUUUCUGAAAAGGGAACUGCUUAUGGGAAUAUAUGAGAAGGGCUUCGAAAGACCGUCUCCUAUUCAGGAAGAAAGCAUACCAAUUGCUCUUACUGGUAGUGAUAUUCUUGCUAGAGCUAAAAAUGGGACUGGGAAAACGGCAGCUUUUUGUAUUCCUGCCUUGGAAAAGAUUGACCAAGAUAACAAUGUCAUUCAAGUUGUUAUACUUGUUCCAACAAGGGAGUUGGCUCUUCAGACAUCACAAGUUUGCAAGGAGCUUGGGAAGCACUUGAAAAUUCAAGUGAUGGUUACUACAGGUGGUACAAGUCUAAAAGAUGACAUCAUGCGUUUAUAUCAACCUGUCCAUUUGCUGGUUGGAACUCCUGGAAGAAUACUGGACCUUGCAAAAAAGGGUGUUUGCAUUUUGAAAGACUGUUCAAUGCUUGUUAUGGAUGAGGCUGACAAACUUUUGUCUCCAGAAUUUCAACCUUCUGUGGAGCAGCUGAUCCGUUUUCUUCCUCCAACUCGUCAGAUUUUGAUGUUUUCUGCUACAUUUCCUGUUACUGUUAAGGAUUUCAAGGAUAGAUAUUUACACAAGCCUUAUAUUAUCAAUCUUAUGGAUGAGCUUACUUUGAAGGGUAUUACGCAGUAUUAUGCUUUUGUUGAAGAACGACAGAAAGUCCACUGUCUAAACACUCUUUUCUCUAAGCUUCAAAUAAACCAAUCUAUCAUUUUCUGCAACUCGGUGAAUCGUGUAGAACUGUUGGCCAAGAAGAUCACAGAACUUGGAUAUUCUUGUUUUUAUAUCCAUGCUAAGAUGUUGCAAGACCAUCGCAACAGAGUGUUUCAUGACUUCCGCAAUGGUGCAUGCAGGAAUCUUGUCUGCACGGAUUUGUUUACCAGGGGUAUAGACAUCCAAGCUGUGAACGUAGUUAUUAACUUUGAUUUCCCCAAGAAUUCUGAGACGUAUCUUCACAGGGUUGGUCGAUCAGGAAGGUUCGGGCACCUUGGUUUGGCUGUGAAUUUGAUUACCUAUGAGGACCGCUUUAACUUGUAUAGGAUUGAGCAAGAGCUUGGGACUGAAAUUAAGCAAAUUCCUCCUCAUAUUGAUCAGGCAAUUUAUUGCCGGUAAAUUGUGGUAGAUCCCUUGCCUUUUCUUCAACAAUGGUGAGUAGCAACAAGAGGUAGAAAUGGGGGUCCAAGUUGUCAAAUGUUGAUUGAAGCAGUAUCUAUCUCUGCAUCUGCAUCUGCAUCUGCAUCUGAGGGCGACUUCUGAGAAUUAAAUAUUGUGAUGGAAGACUUUGAUUGCUGUAUGCAUUUAACCCUGGAAUGCUUUUGUUUGUUUCUGAAUUUUCAUAGCCUGAAACGGUACCAGGAUUAUAGGUUAGAAUUUUAAUGAUCUAUAAAUCCCAGAGAGAUACUGGGUCCAGUUCUGUGUUGUGUUUGAUUUCCAUGACAAACUGGUUUUGAUAUUAUCAGCCAAGUAUUAUCACUGUUGAAUGUUGAAGGUUGUACUUUUGUGGAAAGUAUCUCAGUUCCUCUCCCUCUUGGAUCCAUUAAUAAAGGCUAUGACUUGAGAAUC